UACGGAGGAUGCAAGCGUUAUCCGGAAUGAUUGGGCGUAAAGGGUCCGCAGGUGGCAGUGUAAGUCUGCUGUCAAAGAAUGAGGCUUAACCUCAUCAAGGCAGUGGAAACUACAUAGCUAGAGUACGGUCGGGGUAGAAGGAAUUCCUGGUGUAGCGGUGAAAUGCGUAGAGAUCAGGAAGAACACCGGUGGCGAAAGCGUUCUGCUAGACCUGUACUGACACUGAGGGACGAAAGCUAGGGGAGCGAAUGGG
Molecule: ribosomal RNA, 253 nt
Filed under: uncultured bacterium
Lineage: Bacteria
Description: partial 16S ribosomal RNA
Rfam family: Bacterial small subunit ribosomal RNA
Source: RNAcentral